This 253-nucleotide ribosomal RNA is filed under the name uncultured bacterium. RNAcentral's name for it is "partial 16S ribosomal RNA". It matches the Rfam family "Bacterial small subunit ribosomal RNA", at positions 524 to 776 of the family's 1533-position model. The record is from RNAcentral.
UACGUAGGCAGCGAGCGUUGUUCGGAAUUACUGGGCGUAAAGAGUGUGUAGGCGGUGCUCUAAGUUCGGUGUGAAAUCUCCCGGCUUAACUGGGAGGGUGCGCCGGAAACUGGAGUGCUCGAGCGUGGGAGAGGAAAGCGGAAUUCCUGGUGUAGCGGUGAAAUGCGUAGAGAUCGGGAGGAACACCAGUGGCGAAGGCGGCCGGCUGGGGGUGACCUGACGCUGAGGCGCGAAAGCGUGGGGAGCGAACCGG